This 253-nucleotide ribosomal RNA is filed under the name uncultured bacterium. Its description in RNAcentral is "partial 16S ribosomal RNA". It matches the Rfam family "Bacterial small subunit ribosomal RNA", at positions 524 to 776 of the family's 1533-position model. The record is from RNAcentral.
CACGUAGGGGACGAGCGUUGUCCGGAUUCAUUGGGCGUAAAGCGCGCGUAGGCGGCUCGGCAAGUCGGUCGUGAAAUGCCGGGGCUCAACCCCGGGACUGCGUCCGAUACUCCCGAGCUGGAGGCAGGUAGGGGAGAUCGGAAUUCCUGGUGUAGCGGUGAAAUGCGCAGAUAUCAGGAGGAACACCGGUGGCGAAGGCGGAUCUCUGGGCCGAUACUGACGCUGAGGAGCGAAAGCGUGGGGAGCGAACAGG